Nannospalax galili (Upper Galilee mountains blind mole rat) is the source of this 3709-nucleotide long non-coding RNA. RefSeq lists it as uncharacterized. The record is from RefSeq and is a predicted model, not a curated record. Lineage: Eukaryota; Metazoa; Chordata; Mammalia; Rodentia; Spalacidae. The transcript is spliced from 3 exons.
GGCUGUUAUAGCUCACAUCUGUAAGAUUCCUGUCUCUAUGGCUUCUCAUUGGAUUCAGAGAACAGGAAGAAUUGUUUAAAAAUGUGAGACUGGGGCAAGAUAGUUGACUCAGGUUUUCAUAUUCUGUGUUUGCCCCUGGUGGCUCAGCACAUAUAGAUCUCAUUCCUUUACCAAAUGCCACAGUUUCUGUCUAAGAGAUUCUCCAGAGCCCAUUAACCACUGUCUUAUUUCUUUAGGUCAAUGGGGCCAGCAUAUUGUCAGUCCCUGUGGCUUUUCUAUACUUCAUUGGAUUUUCUUGAUUCUCUCAUGCAUUUGUGAGUGACUCCAACUACCUUGAAAAACAAACUAUCUGGAAAAUGAGAAAUCUACUACAUAUGUUGAAAAUGUAGACUACAUGUACAUUAAUCCUGUUGCAUGCUUACACAGAUCAUAUGAUGAAUAUAGUUAAAAUAAUUUUAAGGAUUCCUGGAGAUUGACUGGAAGAAAACAGCUAUCAGGACUGCCUUCCUGUCUGAAAAGUCAAACACAAGCAGAAGGGGACAGCAAAAUACAGACCUCUGCUUCUUCUAACGGAAUGUAAGAAGGACUUCGACAUUGUUUCCUUCCUUGUCUAGAGUAAGCAGUUUGGGAGUGCAAAUGUUAUCUGAAACAAAUGUAUUAGGAAAUGGGUUGGAGAUGGAGACACUGAGUCAAAGGAGAUGACGAAGCUGGUGGAGAUGGUGGUGAUGGAUCACUCUAGUACAAGAGAGAUUGUGAUGAAUUCCACUGACUUUCUUCUGCUGUUUCAUUACAUUUUCAAGAGAUCCAACAUGUGGGAACUUGCACUCAACUUUGCGGAUUUUAUUACUGGAUGGGAUUACCCCUCUGACACUGAUAAUCAAUGCUAAAUAGUUAAAACGAUUAACUGAGUGAUUAUCCAAGAUCUCAUUAUACAUCAGGCUCUGGUUUGAGUUCUUUCUACAAGUUAUUUGAUUUAAUGCUUGAAAUAACACUGUGAAUUAAUGCUUUUGAAAUUUCCAUUUUAUAUAGGCCAAAACCAAGGCACAAAGAGGUCAAGUUUCUUCCUUGAGUAAGAUCACAAAGCUCCUAAGUGGAGGAGCUGGAAAGCAAUCCCAGGGCUCCUAGCCCUAGAGCCCCAGCUUACCUCUAACACUCUGCCUUGGUCUCUGUCUCCCUGGCCAGGGGAAAAGAGCAUGCCCCUUUGACUUAAACACAGUUGACCUCAAAUCUAGAUUCCAUACGUAACUUCUUAGCUAUGUGAGCUUGAGCUGUCCACUUCAUUUCUUUCAGCCUCAGUUUCUCUGAGGGUUCUUUUAAGUAAGAAGUAAUGGAAUUUUCUGGAAUCCAUCAUUCAAAUUGAUUUGCUGAGUACCUGUGAGCUUAGUACUUAGCAGGUAGGUGCUUUGAAUGAAAUUACCUAGGGGCAGAGAAUUAUGCUCUCAUUCAAUAGUUUUGUUCACAGAAACAAGUGCAAAGAUGCUCAAAAUACUUGCCUGAUUAGAAUAAAUUUUCUUGCAGCUGGCCCUCAGGCAUCCCAGUUUUUCUGGAAAAGAUAAGAAAAACCAUUAUUUUUUAAAAACCCAAGUUCUUUACUUUCUCCCUGCAUCCUACUGCAGCCAUUUCUUAGCAUAUUAUCUUACUACUCCUUCUUCAAUAUAACCACUUUGAGAAUCUUUCAUCUAUAGUCAGUCACCUUUGCAAAUCGUGACUGUGCCCCAGGACCCUGACUAUUCUGAAGCCUUCAUGGAGGCUGAUGCAUGGCAUGACAAAACGGAUGCUGCCCUAUAACUAAGUGUUGGUACCAUCAGAGAACUGGUGUGCUGGCUCUGACUUGGCUGCAAGUGUUAGCAUGGAAGAUCGGUUUCCGGGAGCAGGGAGAGGCUGGGUGCUGGCUCUGGGGAAGGUGAAGGCAAUAGUCCAGAAGACAGAUUGUGACUGUUCAUUUUACCCCUCUUUCCUGAUUUUGACAGUAUGAUGUGGGAUCACUUAGACUGAUCAUAUAAUCUUCAGGAUUUAUGAUGGCAGUGCCUACAUGCCAGGACGGAAAGGCACAGAAGAAAGAACAUAAUCAUUUCCUGGGUCUGAAUCCUUCUUCAAUCUGUGUAAUCAUGAAGGCUUUUCUGGUGAAGGGGUGGGGCAAGGAAGAAGGAAGCUCAGAGAAAGGCUCAGGGGUGUCUGUAUUCUGAGGCUGCUGAAGUCAAAUUUGCUUGGCAAAUACUGAGCAGUACCAAGGAGCCCAGCUGACUUUAGGGCUUAGUAGCCUACAGGUAUGACUCCAUCAAGGCCAUGUGCCUUUUUCUUUAAAUAAUGAACCGUUUUUUUCCAAUGUUGUUUUCCAAAGCUCUUCUACUGGGGAGUUUGAAAACAAGGGAAAAUUAGUUUUUAUUCUUUGUCCCAGGGCUUCAUUCACAACUCCCCCCCCCAUUUCUCUGUGUCUCCAUUAUAGUUUAGCUUGUGGGUGUGGUCAGUGCUGGGAUGAGCCUCCCUUUGGAGGAUUCUGGAUGAAAAAGGGAGAGCAAGCAGCCGUACCCAGGAGUUGUGGUUGACUGCAUGUGGAAACUCAAGUGCUGCUCUUUAACCUGAGUUGGAGGUUGGGGCGUAGGGAGGAGCUGGAGAGAGAGCUUUGUUUACCUGGUUCCGAGGAGGUGAGGAGGCAGAAUCAAUGCUUUUCAAAUUUUGUAGUUUCUCAACAAAUGUCUGUAGGAUCGCAUAUCAAAUUCUCAGCUUCAUUUUUCUUACUGGAAUAUAAUGGGAAAUGAUAUGGGCGACAACAGAUCUGAGGUCUAUUUUUCAUGGUAACAGAAGAACACUUUCUUAAAUAUUCUGUACUUUCUAGAAAGUAGGAAGCUUCAGUUUUUUUGUUAAAGGUCGCUAGCAGAAGGCUCUUUAGAGGUCAAUAUAGAGUGAGAGCAAAGACUGAUUAGAUUAUUCUGUUAGGCUUCUCAUUCGGUGUUCACAGUUGUAUGUGUUAGAUAUAAACUGUUGCUGAGAAAAAUAAGGUCCAGCGGACUUUCACAGCAGCAGACUGUAACUCACCAUGAGGACUCCAGUAUCCUAACUCUUAGAUCAUGUUUUACCUUAAAGUCCCAAUUUUCUGUUUGGUGUAGUCAACAAUGCUAAAGUCAUAAUCAUGAAAUAUGAGGUUCACUGCAUCCACUGUGUAAAUAAAUUGGCCACAAGCUAGUAUUCCAUUAACGACAUUUGUUUAUGGUACUGUAGUGUAGCCUUUUCUCUGUGAAGAUGCUUCCAGAAAAGAACCAGCUGUGAUCUGUCCAUACUUUAGGACCUAACUGGGAGGACAAAGUUUAGACACUUGACAUUGUUUGACCGAUGGCAGUGCUGCGGGUCAAGCAGGUCAGAGCAGUGUAAGGGAACUGACACUGGGCUGGGAGGGGGGUCCCAUUCUGAAGGAGGCAGCCUUUGCUGAGAGUCAGGAGGCAAGAAAGAUUCCAGGGUAUCAGUGCAGGGUGAAAACAAGACCUCUAAGGAGACAACCGCUGAGAAUUGAAAUUUUAAUGAAUGGGACAGAAGGAGGAUUGGGCUAGAUUAUGAUUGGGAACCAAGUACUAAGGAGAGAAAAUUAUCCUUUAUCUUUUCAAAAAACUUUCUUGCAGACAUACCUUAGCAGCAAAAUACUUCUAGUUGCAACCCAAUGUUUGCAUAUGUGUAUUAUGAAAGCUGGCCCUCCCUCUCUCUUUUCCUUCCUAUC